GGAAACAUUGCCAUCACUACCAAAUUAUCAUGCAGCCACUGGUUAUCGCCACCACACUAGCCAUCCUAUUGACCGGAUGCUUGGAAGUUAACAGUCAAGCAGGCCAAUGGGGAUGUGUCUGGGUUGGUAGUACGCCAAUCUGCGAAGCGAACAAAAACACUUGCAGAGAAAUGAACAUGGAUCUAGUUAAGGUAUCGAACAUGGCACGAGAUGGUACGAAAUGUUGGCAAGGAAUCCGAGUGUUUUGUUGCCCACCCCUGGGCGACUUCAGACGGAAGAGGAACUCAUUUUAUAAAUAGGCAAACCACCACAUUGAUCUAGAGGAGAGUAUGAUAAGAUCGGAAUUUUCUUUUGACCGAAUUCUUCAUCAAGUCCAUGGCUGUCCUAACACGAUCACGCAGUACCUGAGAUCUGACAUUCAGACGAGUUGUAUUCAUAUUAGCAAGAAAAAAACCCUUUAUUCUUGACACGUAUCGAAUUAAUUGCAUUAUCUUCACUGGGAGAACUAUUAUAUCAGUUGACUCGUUUUCUAGUACCUGCGCGACUUGUAACAAUGAUCGCCUUAUCCUGGCAACGCGGAGUGAUAUUAUAGAUUUGUGAGUGAGAGACGGAUGACGUCCUCUUGUUUUGUUUCGUCUUGACUCGAGGUAUUUCGAAUGUAAAUCCUGACAUGCGAUAAAUUUUGCGCUGAGGUCGCAGCCAUUGAUGGAGCACCAGAAUUAUGCAGUCAUUGCGUCGAACAAUGAGUUUCUUACAGGGAAACGAAAGACAUUUGUAAUGGUGCAGGGUUGGCCUACAUAUUGCCGUAAAACGUAAGAUUUAAAACAUAUUUUUCCCAAACUUUGUAUGUCUAAGAGGUAUCCCAAUUUUAGUUGAAUGAUGUUGUUAUUUUUUUAAAUGCCUUCUGUAUUUGUUUUUACUGCAUUUGGAGGUUAGAAAACGUGUUAGCUUUUAACACUCAUGUUGACAUAUUCUUACGUGUACUUCGAUGUACAUGUAACAGCAUGUCAGCGUUGUUACAAGCCAAUAUGUUUUCUAACAAAUGCAACCUGUAUGAUGGCGUUAUAUAUAUGCGAUACAUAAAGGCAUCAAAAUAAAAUAUCGUAAGAAAGAA
Long non-coding RNA from Lineus longissimus, 1114 nucleotides. RefSeq lists it as uncharacterized. NCBI's taxonomy places the organism in Eukaryota, Metazoa, Nemertea, Pilidiophora, Heteronemertea, Lineidae. The transcript has 3 exons. The record is from RefSeq and is a predicted model, not a curated record.